This is a long non-coding RNA of Salvia miltiorrhiza (redroot sage), 664 nucleotides long. RefSeq lists it as uncharacterized. The record is from RefSeq and is a predicted model, not a curated record. NCBI's taxonomy places the organism in Eukaryota, Viridiplantae, Streptophyta, Magnoliopsida, Lamiales, Lamiaceae. The transcript is spliced from 5 exons.
UUCUAUUCUAUGGUUUCUCUUCUCUCUUUAGAAAUUCUACUCCAAGAAAUCAAAUCUUCUUCAAAUUAUCGGUGCAAACUCAGAUCAAAAUCAACCCACUUGAGAAAGCCAUUACAGCAGCAAAACCAAAGGUUGAUAAAAACUGACCCUGUUGCGCUAGCGUUUCGCGUUCUUUCUAUUUGAUCUGAGGUGGGCUGCAUGAUCUAGGUUGCCGUUACAUGAAUGUGCUAGCACUUGUUGCGAAAUAUGGACUCCGAGUCAUAAUAGAGUUGAUUAGCAUGCAAGAGUUUUCAGAGCAAAAAUUGAGUACUUGGAAAAGGAAAUUGUAAAAGACAUCCACAUGUUCAUCCACAUGUGGUCAAAUUUAAGAAAAGAGGACAUACACAUGUUCAUUGCAAUGGUUUCCGAGCAAAAUAAAGACAAAAUAGUCCCACAAACACCAACACUCAAACCAAGGGGUGGUGUAACAAUCAAGCGAAGAAUAUUGGACUCAUAAAGUGAAAAAUUCGAUGAGACUUUGAGGUAACUUUUGUAUGUACUUGUACAAUUCUAUCUAUGACUUUUAGUCUAUUACACCAUGUCGAUGAUAUUUUAUUAACAUUUUGAGGUUGUCUUUUGUGUGUGUGUGCCUCAAUGUAGCUUCCGAUUGAAUGCAUUGUGUAUA